AGUUACUGUCAUUGGACAACUUAACAUAGCUGGAAGGGUAUAUUUUGAAAGUUACAGCAAUCCAAAUUCUAAUGAAUAUAAAACCUUGCAUGAUGAAUUAUUGCCAAAGCUGAAAGCGGUGUACAGUACAUUGAAUUCAUUUGAUGACAUACACAUCACAGGGUUCAGUCGUGGUAGUGUCAUCAUCGCUUUUGAAAUGAACCUCAACGACGUUUCAGCUGAUGUCCUUGCAAGCAAAACAGCAGAAUUGGAAAAAAUACUGAAUUCUACGUUCACGCUAGAGACAGCAGGCGUCGUUGAGAUCACAGUACCAGAAGGCCCGGUACUGAUGCUACAGUGAUACCCACUAGUAGGACGACUACAAUUCUCCUCAGACAGGCAACGGAGAUCUGGGAAGGUCUGUACACGUGUGUCUUCAAUCCAAAAUCCUCCAAUGUGACCAUAAACCACAAAGCCAGUGCAACACUAGACAUAGCGCUCCUGCCACAAAUUGACAUCAGUAGCACGCCCCAAUUUCCGGACUGUUACAACAAAUAUAAUGCAAAUGCUAGAAUCUUUGUCAGAGUUCAAUGCGAAAUUAUGAAUAGCACUGAAAACUACAAUGUGACAUGGAAUUACACCAACACUGAAACUCCAUUAAAUGAACAAAAAGGUAACUUUCUGCCCUUCAUG
This is a long non-coding RNA of Oncorhynchus tshawytscha (Chinook salmon), 672 nucleotides long. The record is from Ensembl. NCBI's taxonomy places the organism in Eukaryota, Metazoa, Chordata, Actinopteri, Salmoniformes, Salmonidae.